AGGUUAAUGAGGCGAACCGGGGGAACUGAAACAUCUAAGUACCCCGAGGAAAAGAAAUCAACCGAGAUUCCCCCAGUAGCGGCGAGCGAACGGGGAGCAGCCCAGAGCCUGAAUCAGUGUGUGUGUUAGUGGAAGCGUCUGGAAAGGCGCGCGAUACAGGGUGACAGCCCCGUACACAAAAAUGCACAUGCUGUGAGCUCGAUGAGUAGGGCGGGACACGUGGUAUCCUGUCUGAAUAUGGGGGGACCAUCCUCCAAGGCUAAAUACUCCUGACUGACCGAUAGUGAACCAGUACCGUGAGGGAAAGGCGAAAAGAACCCCGGCGAGGGGAGUGAAAAAGAACCUGAAACCGUGUACGUACAAGCAGUGGGAGCACAGAGCAAUCUGUGUGACUGCGUACCUUUUGUAUAAUGGGUCAGCGACUUAUAUUCUGUAGCAAGGUUAACCGAAUAGGGGAGCCGAAGGGAAACCGAGUCUUAACCGGGCGUUAAGUUGCAGGGUAUAGACCCGAAACCCGGUGAUCUAGCCAUGGGCAGGUUGAAGGUUGGGUAACACUAACUGGAGGACCGAACCGACUAAUGUUGAAAAAUUAGCGGAUGACUUGUGGCUGGGGGUGAAAGGCCAAUCAAACCGGGAGAUAGCUGGUUCUCCCCGAAAGCUAUUUAGGUAGCGCCUCGUGAAUUCAUCUCCGGGGGUAGAGCACUGUUUCGGCAAGGGGGUCAUCCCGACUUACCAACCCGAUGCAAACUGCGAAUACCGGAGAAUGUUAUCACGGGAGACACACGGCGGGUGCUAACGUCCGUCGUGAAGAGGGAAACAACCCAGACCGCCAGCUAAGGUCCCAAAGUCAUGGUUAAGUGGGAAACGAUGUGGGAAGGCCCAGACAGCCAGGAUGUUGGCUUAGAAGCAGCCAUCAUUUAAAGAAAGCGUAAUAGCUCACUGGUCGAGUCGGCCUGCGCGGAAGAUGUAACGGGGCUAAACCAUGCACCGAAGCUGCGGCAGCGACACUGUGUGUUGUUGGGUAGGGGAGCGUUCUGUAAGCCUGUGAAGGUGUACUGUGAGGUAUGCUGGAGGUAUCAGAAGUGCGAAUGCUGACAUAAGUAACGAUAAAGCGGGUGAAAAGCCCGCUCGCCGGAAGACCAAGGGUUCCUGUCCAACGUUAAUCGGGGCAGGGUGAGUCGACCCCUAAGGCGAGGCCGAAAGGCGUAGUCGAUGGGAAACAGGUUAAUAUUCCUGUACUUGGUGUUACUGCGAAGGGGGGACGGAGAAGGCUAUGUUGGCCGGGCGACGGUUGUCCCGGUUUAAGCGUGUAGGCUGGUUUUCCAGGCAAAUCCGGAAAAUCAAGGCUGAGGCGUGAUGACGAGGCACUACGGUGCUGAAGCAACAAAUGCCCUGCUUCCAGGAAAAGCCUCUAAGCAUCAGGUAACAUCAAAUCGUACCCCAAACCGACACAGGUGGUCAGGUAGAGAAUACCAAGGCGCUUGAGAGAACUCGGGUGAAGGAACUAGGCAAAAUGGUGCCGUAACUUCGGGAGAAGGCACGCUGAUAUGUAGGUGAAGUCCCUCGCGGAUGGAGCUGAAAUCAGUCGAAGAUACCAGCUGGCUGCAACUGUUUAUUAAAAACACAGCACUGUGCAAACACGAAAGUGGACGUAUACGGUGUGACGCCUGCCCGGUGCCGGAAGGUUAAUUGAUGGGGUCAGCGCAAGCGAAGCUCUUGAUCGAAGCCCCGGUAAACGGCGGCCGUAACUAUAACGGUCCUAAGGUAGCGAAAUUCCUUGUCGGGUAAGUUCCGACCUGCACGAAUGGCGUAAUGAUGGCCAGGCUGUCUCCACCCGAGACUCAGUGAAAUUGAACUCGCUGUGAAGAUGCAGUGUACCCGCGGCAAGACGGAAAGACCCCGUGAACCUUUACUAUAGCUUGACACUGAACAUUGAGCCUUGAUGUGUAGGAUAGGUGGGAGGCUUUGAAGUGUGGACGCCAGUCUGCAUGGAGCCGACCUUGAAAUACCACCCUUUAAUGUUUGAUGUUCUAACGUGGACCCGUGAUCCGGGUUGCGGACAGUGUCUGGUGGGUAGUUUGACUGGGGCGGUCUCCUCCUAAAGAGUAACGGAGGAGCACGAAGGUUGGCUAAUCCUGGUCGGACAUCAGGAGGUUAGUGCAAUGGCAUAAGCCAGCUUGACUGCGAGCGUGACGGCGCGAGCAGGUGCGAAAGCAGGUCAUAGUGAUCCGGUGGUUCUGAAUGGAAGGGCCAUCGCUCAACGGAUAAAAGGUACUCCGGGGAUAACAGGCUGAUACCGCCCAAGAGUUCAUAUCGACGGCGGUGUUUGGCACCUCGAUGUCGGCUCAUCACAUCCUGGGGCUGAAGUAGGUCCCAAGGGUAUGGCUGUUCGCCAUUUAAAGUGGUACGCGAGCUGGGUUUAGAACGUCGUGAGACAGUUCGGUCCCUAUCUGCCGUGGGCGCUGGAGAACUGAGGGGGGCUGCUCCUAGUACGAGAGGACCGGAGUGGACGCAUCACUGGUGUUCGGGUUGUCAUGCCAAUGGCACUGCCCGGUAGCUAAAUGCGGAAGAGAUAAGUGCUGAAAGCAUCUAAGCACGAAACUUGCCCCGAGAUGAGUUCUCCCUGACCCUUUAAGGGUCCUGAAGGAACGUUGAAGACGACGACGUUGAUAGGCCGGGUGUGUAAGCGCAGCGAUGCGUUGAGCUAACCGGUACUAAUGAACCGUGAGGCUUAACCUU
Molecule: ribosomal RNA, 2739 nt
Filed under: Escherichia coli DEC3B
Lineage: Bacteria; Pseudomonadati; Pseudomonadota; Gammaproteobacteria; Enterobacterales; Enterobacteriaceae
Description: bacterial LSU rRNA
Rfam family: Bacterial large subunit ribosomal RNA
Source: RNAcentral